This 305-nucleotide ribosomal RNA is filed under the name uncultured bacterium. RNAcentral's name for it is "bacterial SSU rRNA". It matches the Rfam family "Bacterial small subunit ribosomal RNA", at positions 333 to 636 of the family's 1533-position model. The record is from RNAcentral.
UCAGCCUACGGGACGCAGCAGUGAGGAAUAUUGGUCAAUGGGCGGGAGCCUGAACCAGCCAAGUCGCGUGAGGGAAGACGGUCCUAUGGAUUGGAAACCUCUUUUGUCGGGGAGCAAAGAGGCCACGUGUGGUCAAAAGCGAGAGUACCCGAAGAAAAAGCAUCGGCUAACUCCGUGCCAGCAGCCGCGGUAAUACGGAGGAUGCGAGCGUUAUCCGGAUUUAUUGGGUUUAAAGGGUGCGUAGGCGGUACGGUAAGUCAGCGGUAAAAUUGCGGGGCUCAACUCCGUCGAGCCGUUGAAACUGC